GAUGAACGCUGGCGGCGUGCCUAAUACAUGCAAGUCGAGCGAACAGACGAGGAGCUUGCUCCUCUGACGUUAGCGGCGGACGGGUGAGUAACACGUGGAUAACCUACCUAUAAGACUGGGAUAACUUCGGGAAACCGGAGCUAAUACCGGAUAAUAUAUUGAACCGCAUGGUUCAAUAGUGAAAGACGGUUUUGCUGUCACUUAUAGAUGGAUCCGCUCCGCAUUAGCUAGUUGGUAAGGUAACGGCUUACCAAGGCAACGAUGCGUAGCCGACCUGAGAGGGUGAUCGGCCACACGGGAACUGAGACACGGUCCAGACUCCUACGGGAGGCAGCAGUAGGGAAUCUUCCGCGAUGGGCGAAAGCCUGACGGAGCAACGCCGCGUGAGUGAUGAAGGUCUUCGGAUCGUAAAACUCUGUUAUUAGGGAAGAACAAAUGUGUAAGUAACUAUGCACGUCUUGACGGUACCUAAUCAGAAAGCCACGGCUAACUACGUG
This 497-nucleotide ribosomal RNA is filed under the name uncultured bacterium. Its description in RNAcentral is "partial 16S ribosomal RNA". It matches the Rfam family "Bacterial small subunit ribosomal RNA", at positions 28 to 507 of the family's 1533-position model. The record is from RNAcentral.